RNAcentral lists this ribosomal RNA (547 nucleotides) under Salmonella enterica subsp. enterica serovar Kottbus. RNAcentral's name for it is "partial 23S ribosomal RNA". It matches the Rfam family "Bacterial large subunit ribosomal RNA", at positions 667 to 1212 of the family's 2925-position model. Lineage: Bacteria; Pseudomonadati; Pseudomonadota; Gammaproteobacteria; Enterobacterales; Enterobacteriaceae. The record is from RNAcentral.
CGUAGGGAAACCGAGUCUUAACCGGGCGUUAAGUUGCAGGGUAUAGACCCGAAACCCGGUGAUCUAGCCAUGGGCAGGUUGAAGGUUGGGUAACACUAACUGGAGGACCGAACCGACUAAUGUUGAAAAAUUAGCGGAUGACCUGUGGCUGGGGGUGAAAGGCCAAUCAAACCGGGAGAUAGCUGGUUCUCCCCGAAAGCUAUUUAGGUAGCGCCUCGUGAAUUCAUCUCCGGGGGUAGAGCACUGUUUCGGCUAGGGGGCCAUCCCGGCUUACCAACCCGAUGCAAACUGCGAAUACCGGAGAAUGUUAUCACGGGAGACACACGGCGGGUGCUAACGUCCGUCGUGAAGAGGGAAACAACCCAGACCGCCAGCUAAGGUCCCAAAGUCAUGGUUAAGUGGGAAACGAUGUGGGAAGGCCCAGACAGCCAGGAUGUUGGCUUAGAAGCAGCCAUCAUUUAAAGAAAGCGUAAUAGCUCACUGGUCGAGUCGGCCUGCGCGGAAGAUGUAACGGGGCUAAACCAUGCACCGAAGCUGCGGCAGCGAC